Molecule: ribosomal RNA, 460 nt
Filed under: uncultured bacterium
Lineage: Bacteria
Description: partial 16S ribosomal RNA
Rfam family: Bacterial small subunit ribosomal RNA
Source: RNAcentral
CCUACGUGAGGCAGCAGUGAGGAAUAUUGGUCAAUGGACGAGAGUCUGAACCAGCCAAGUAGCGUGAAGGAUGACUGCCCUAUGGGUUGUAAACUUCUUUUAUAAAGGAAUAAAACGAGGCACGUGUGCCUUUUUGCAUGUACUUUAUGAAUAAGGAUCGGCUAACUCCGUGCCAGCAGCCGCGGUAAUACGGAGGAUCCGAGCGUUCUCCGGAUUUAUUGGGUUUAAAGGGAGCGUAGAUGGGUUGUUAAGUCAGUUGUGAAAGUUUGCGGCUCAACCGUAAAAUUGCAAUUGAUACUGGCAGUCUUGAGUACAGUUGAGGUAGGCGGAAUUCGUGGUGUAGCGGUGAAAUGCUUAGAUAUCACGAAGAACCCCGAUUGCGAAGGCAGCUUACUAAACUGUGACUGACAUUGAUGCUCGAAAGUGUGGGUAUCAAAUAGGAUUAGAUACCCGUGUAGUC